AUAAAAAUUAAUUAUUAGUUUUUAUAGUAUAAAGUUUUUUAGUUUAAAGAAAAAAAUAAUUUUUUAUUAGAAUUUUUUAAAAAAAUAUUUUUAUAAUAGUUUAUUAGUAUUGAGAAAGAAUUAUUUUAUUAUUUUAAAAGAAGAAUUUAUUUUUUGUACCUUGUGUAUCAGGGUUGAUUAAUUAAAAUUUUGAUAAAUAAAAUUUCUCGAAUUUAGAAGAUUUAUUUAUAUAUAUUUAUUAUUGUAGAAUAAAUAUAUUUAAUAUAUGAAUGGAAAUGAAAUGUUUACGUUUCUAAAUAUAUCUAGUUUUUUAAGAAAAAAAUUUAAUUUUAUUUUAAAUAAAGUGUUUAAUUAAAGUGUUUAAUUUUUCAUUAUUUAAAUUUUAUAGUUUAAGGGAUGAGCUUUAAACUAAAUAUUUAUAGUUUAUUAUAUAUUAUUUUAAUUUGUAGGAUUAAAAGUUUCUAUACUAGUGUGUUUUAACUAUUUAAGAUUAUAUUUUGAUUUAUAUAGUAUUUAUUUUUUUUAUUAAAAUAAAAUUUUUAAUUUUAUAAAAUUUGUAAGAAUGAUUAAAUUAGUAUAUUUAGUUUUAUUUUUAUAAUUUUUAGUUAGGUAUGGUAAAGGAAUUCGGCAAAUUGAUUUUUCACCUGUUUAUUAAAAACAUGGCCUUUUGAUUAUAAUUUAAGGUCUGACCUGCCCUAUGAAUAUUAAAUGGCUGCAGUACUUUGACUGUGCAAAGGUAGCAUAAUCAUUAGUUUUUUAAUUGAAAGCUGGUAUGAAGGGUUUGAUGAAGGAAUAGCUGUCUCUAUCAUAAUUUAAUAGAAUUUUAUUUUUAAGUUAAAAAGCUUAAAUUUAAAUUAAAGACGAGAAGACCCUAUAGAGUUUUAUAUUUUUAAUAAAUAAGAUAUUUUUAGUAUUUAUAAUGUUUAUUUAUAAAAAAUAUUUAGUUGGGGUGAUUGAAAAAUUUAAUAAACUUUUUUUUAUUUUUACAUUUAUUUAUGAUUAAAUGAUCCCUUAGUUGGGAUAAGAAGAUUAAAUUACCUUAGGGAUAACAGCGUAAUUUUUUUUUAGAGUUCAAAUUAAAAAAAAAGUUUGCGACCUCGAUGUUGGAUUAAAAUUUAUUUUUGGUGUAGAAGCUAGGAAAUUUGGUCUGUUCGACCUUUAAAAUUUUACAUGAUCUGAGUUUAAACCGGUGUGAGCCAGGUUGGUUUCUAUCUUAAUUUAUGAAAUAGAUUUUAGUACGAAAGGACCAAAUUUGUAGUUUAAAAUUUUAAUUAGAAUAUUAUUAAUUGAUUUA
This 1294-nucleotide ribosomal RNA is filed under the name Curculionoidea sp. 5 KM-2017. RNAcentral describes it as "16S ribosomal RNA". The stretch from base 1045 to 1203 matches the Rfam family "Archaeal large subunit ribosomal RNA", at positions 2542 to 2701 of the family's 2987-position model. Lineage: Eukaryota; Metazoa; Arthropoda; Insecta; Coleoptera. The record is from RNAcentral.